GAUGAACGCUGGCGGCGUGCUUAACACAUGCAAGUCGAACGAGAAGUGAAGACGGAAACCUUCGGGCGGAAGGCUUUAUUUCGAGUGGCGGACGGGUGAGUAACGCGUGGGUAACCUGCCUCAUACAGGGGGAUAACAGUUGGAAACGACUGUUAAUACCGCAUAAGACCACAGCACCGCAUGGUGCGGGGGUAAAAACUCCGGUGGUAUGAGAUGGACCCGCGUUCGAUUAGCCAGUUGGCGGGGUAACGGCCCACCAAAGCGACGAUCGAUAGCCGAUCUGAGAGGAUGACCGGCCACAUUGGGACUGAGACACGGCCCUAACUCCUACGGGAGGCAGCAGUGGGGAAUAUUGCACAAUGGGGGAAACCCUGAUGCAGCGACGCCGCGUGAGUGAAGAAGUAUUUCGGUAUGUAAAGCUCUAUCAGCAGGGAAGAAAAUGACGGUACCUGAGUAAGAAGCCCCGGCUAACUACGUG
RNAcentral lists this ribosomal RNA (478 nucleotides) under uncultured bacterium. RNAcentral's name for it is "partial 16S ribosomal RNA". It matches the Rfam family "Bacterial small subunit ribosomal RNA", at positions 28 to 507 of the family's 1533-position model. The record is from RNAcentral.